CUAUGGGGACUUACAGAGACUGAGACAUCAACUAAGAAUCAUUCAUGGUCUGGACCUAGGCUCCCUGUACAUAUGUAUCUGAUGGGUGGUUUGGUGUUCAUAUGGUGCACCUGGUCUAAAUGUAACAUGAAUUCCUGAAGUAAUAUCACCUGGACUAAGAAAAUCAAAUUCUGUGCUGGAAAAAAAUGUCUCAAUAGCUAAAAAUAUUGCCCAGGAAACCUUACAUCUCAGUUCAAUGACCAGAAUUUAAAUGUUGGGAGGAGAGAAUUGACUCCCUCAGAAAUUUCCCUACUGAAUCCCCAGUAUGCACAAUUAUGCAGAUUUGCACAGGCAUGUGUGCACACAUGUACACACACACACUGAAUAAAUAUAAAUCUCAAAAUAAAGUAAAAUAAUUAAAAUCA
This is a long non-coding RNA of Meriones unguiculatus (Mongolian gerbil), 404 nucleotides long. RefSeq lists it as uncharacterized. NCBI's taxonomy places the organism in Eukaryota, Metazoa, Chordata, Mammalia, Rodentia, Muridae. The transcript has 2 exons. The record is from RefSeq and is a predicted model, not a curated record.